AUACGGGGCUUAAAGUCUUGUAAUUGGAAUGAUGGGAAUCUAAACCCCUUCCAGAGUAUCAAUUGGAGGGCAAGUCUGGUGCCAGCAGCCGCGGUAAUUCCAGCUCCAAUAGCGUAUAUUAAACUUGUUGCAGUUAAAAAGCUCGUAGUUGAACUUCUGCUGUCAGGUUUUCGUUCCUUUCGGGGUUUCGUCAACCUGGUGGCUUUUUUCUGGGUGAAUUUAGCUUCGGCUUAAUUUCCCAGUAUUUUACUUUGAGAAAAUUAGAGUGCUUCAAGCAGGCUUUUGCCGUGAAUACUUCAGCAUGGAAUAAUAAAGUAGGACUUUGGUUC
RNAcentral lists this ribosomal RNA (329 nucleotides) under Babesia vesperuginis. Its description in RNAcentral is "SSU rRNA". It matches the Rfam family "Eukaryotic small subunit ribosomal RNA", at positions 483 to 836 of the family's 1831-position model. The record is from RNAcentral. Lineage: Eukaryota; Apicomplexa; Aconoidasida; Piroplasmida; Babesiidae.